RNAcentral lists this unclassified non-coding RNA (462 nucleotides) under Hevea brasiliensis (rubber tree). Lineage: Eukaryota; Viridiplantae; Streptophyta; Magnoliopsida; Malpighiales; Euphorbiaceae. The record is from RNAcentral.
AGCCAUUGAUUGAUUCCUUGCACGAUUCUGCAUAAAAUCAUUUUUGCCCCAAAUAAACCAAGCGAGCUUUGCACAAGUGCCAGCAUAUAGACAUAUUGUGUGACACAAUAUAUGUAUACAUAUAAACAAUUAAGAAAACUAAAAACAAGCACAUCUAGAAAUCAGCAUAAAACAACAGGCAAGCAUGUCCAAUGUAGGGAUUAAUGGAUUUCAUAUUUUAUCAGGAAGGGGUAUGAAUGCCUACAUACCGUACUUGGUUGAUGGAAUUAUUGAGUUANNNCUCCUGCGGAAGCCCAUCCUCUCCCUACUUGAAGUGAAUGGGUACAAAAAGAAUCCAAAAAAAAAUAUACUAUACAAGCUUUACCACAAAAGUAAAGAUAAAUACACAGAUCUCACUGCCACAAUCAGGCAAUGAGUUCAUAUUCAUAUUAAGUGCAUGCUGCUAUGAUAUAGUACCUAUUU